AUACUUACCUGGCAGGGGAGAUACCAUGAUCACGAAGGUGGUUUUCCCAGGGCGAGGCUUAUCCAUUGCACUCCGGAUGUGCUGACCCCUGCGAUUUUCCCAAAUGUGGGAAACUCGACUGCAUAAUUUGUGGUAGUGGGGGACUGCGUUCGCGCUUUCCCCUG
Molecule: small nuclear RNA, 164 nt
Filed under: Aotus nancymaae (Ma's night monkey)
Lineage: Eukaryota; Metazoa; Chordata; Mammalia; Primates; Aotidae
Description: U1 spliceosomal RNA (ENSANAG00000016388.1)
Rfam family: U1 spliceosomal RNA
About the family: U1 is a small nuclear RNA (snRNA) component of the spliceosome (involved in pre-mRNA splicing). Its 5' end forms complementary base pairs with the 5' splice junction, thus defining the 5' donor site of an intron.
Source: Rfam by way of RNAcentral